UUCAAAACCCAUUCAAGCAAUUUCUCUGCUUUAACUCAAACAAUUUGCAAUUGUUUGUAGAGUUUUGCAUUGCAAAAGGUUUUUGCAAUGUUUGCUUUUCUCUGCAAUCUCUCCUGACCUGCUUGGGAACAUACGAAUUGGAGCACUCCUGAUCUCUGUCCUGUGCCAGCACCCUUCCUUGGAACACAACAAGACCUGAAUGUUUCUUAAGUAAAUAUAAAAACUGUCUUUUUACUUUCUUUCUAAUCUCUUUCACAUCUCUUUGGAAAGCAAGACAGCGCCCAAUGCUGGAUUCCAAAGGAGAUGAGAGUGCACACAGUACAGGUUUCUGCACUGUCUGUGAACUGUCAGCUUUCCUCAGCUCAGUACUGUGAAGAGAUGUCAUGCUGCCCAGGCAGGGGUGGAGGAAGGAGAGGUGCUUGUUAAUGCAACCUCCCAAGAGGUCAUGUUUCUCUGAUGGAAAAUGCAGGAGAGAAAAUGCAGGAGAUCUGCUCUGCAGGCACCCUCUUUUCAUUUUUAUCAAACGAAAACAGAAUCAAUGUCUGCUGCUGCUCUCCUGCCCCUGCAAGGUUUGGUUUAUAUUCCCAGGAACACAAUGCUAAGGAAGAGAGGACUGGUGGCCUCAGGACAUCCAGCUUCAUUUCAUGGUUGGGCCAGACUUGCUGAGGGAGAACUCAGUACGGUGGGACCUGUCUAUCUCAUGAUGCACAGAACUUUUUUCCAUGCUGCCAGUGUAGGAAAGUGGUCUCUGCUUGGCUGAGAGAGGCUGGGGUCAAGCACACAAACUCAUUGCUUUUCCAAGGACACACCAAGAACUUGUGGUAGAAGUGGGAACAAAAAAGUCCUAUCUGAUUCAGUGCUUCAUCCGCACAAACAUAGUUUAUCAAUACAGAUAGCUUCAGAUGAAAGAUACAUCAAAGCAUAUUUUUGGCAGCUGCUUUCAGAAGUAGUACUAAAUCUCCUGGGGGAAUGCAAGCAGUGAGAUAUGAUCCAAGUAUCAAAAUCCCCAUCUUCUUAAUCUCUCUCCUCCUCUCUCACACUGGUGGAGUUCACAGGAAAGCCCUUCCUUGAGGUUAUGUCAUCAGUAUUCCCAUCAGUAGGUUUUGGUUCCUAAAUGCAUUUUUGCGCUUUUCCAACAAAAUGGUGCCUGUUUCAACACUAACUCUGAAGAUUCGGAAAUUGGCAAAGGAUACAAAAAGAAUAAUGAACCAGCAGUUACUGUUUACAUUGGCCACCUUGUAUAAAUGCUGAUACUAGCAUUUCUGAAAGGAUUCAUUCAUCACUGAAAAAAAGGUUUGUACCUGUGAAUACGAUCUUGCCUGGGAGGGCCUGUGUGCUUCCUCUCCUCUAUCAACAAAGCCUACAAACAUGAAGGGAUGGUUUUGCAAUGGAUAUUAAUGUAUACCUAUUAUUUCAGGAUGACAAUAAGCCAUUGAAUAUAUUCCAUGCAGCAGUAAAUGAAUGAAAGAAGCAGUAAAUUUAAAGAAAAAUUGCAUUUA
This is a non-coding RNA of Cyanistes caeruleus (blue tit), 1499 nucleotides long. NCBI's taxonomy places the organism in Eukaryota, Metazoa, Chordata, Aves, Passeriformes, Paridae. The record is from RefSeq and is a predicted model, not a curated record.